Molecule: ribosomal RNA, 253 nt
Filed under: uncultured bacterium
Lineage: Bacteria
Description: partial 16S ribosomal RNA
Rfam family: Bacterial small subunit ribosomal RNA
Source: RNAcentral
UACGUAGGGAGCAAGCGUUGUCCGGAAUCAUUGGGCGUAAAGCGCGCGUAGGCGGCCCGAUAAGUCCGUUGUGAAAGUCAAAGGCUCAACCUUUGAAUGCCGAUGGAUACUGUCGGGCUAGAGUCCGGAAGAGGCGAGUGGAAUUCCUGGUGUAGCGGUGAAAUGCGCAGAUAUCAGGAGGAACACCGGUGGCGAAGGCGGGUCUCUGGGCCGAUACUGACGCUGAGGAGCGAAAGCGUGGGGAGCGAACAGG